UACGGGGGGGGUAAGCGUUGUUCGGAAUUACUGGGCGUAAAGGGCUCGUAGGCGGCCAACUAAGUCAUACGUGAAAUCCCUCAGCUUAACUGGGGAACUGCGUGUGAUACUGGAUGGCUUGGAUUUGGGAGAGGGAUGCGGAAUUCCAGGUGUAGCGGUGAAAUGCGUAGAUAUCGGGAGGAACACCGGUGGCGAAGGCGGCCCCCUGGUUGGAUACUGACGCUGAGACGCGAAAGCGUGGGGAGCAAACAGG
This 253-nucleotide ribosomal RNA is filed under the name uncultured bacterium. RNAcentral describes it as "partial 16S ribosomal RNA". It matches the Rfam family "Bacterial small subunit ribosomal RNA", at positions 524 to 776 of the family's 1533-position model. The record is from RNAcentral.